Molecule: ribosomal RNA, 829 nt
Filed under: Hypocreales sp. LM452
Lineage: Eukaryota; Fungi; Ascomycota; Sordariomycetes; Hypocreales
Description: eukaryotic LSU rRNA
Rfam family: Eukaryotic small subunit ribosomal RNA (bases 1-358)
Source: RNAcentral
CUUUAGAUGUUCUGGGCCGCACGCGCGCUACACUGACGGGGUCAGCGAGUUCCUUGGCCGAAAGGCCCGGGUAAUCUUGUUAGCCCCCGUCGUGCUGGGGAUAGAGCAUUGCAAUUAUUGCUCUUCAACGAGGAAUCCCUAGUAAGCGCAAGUCAUCAGCUUGCGUUGAUUACGUCCCUGCCCUUUGUACACACCGCCCGUCGCUACUACCGAUUGAAUGGCUCAGUGAGGCGUCCGGACUGGCCCAGGGAGGUGGGCAACUACCACCCAGGGCCGGAAAGUUCUCCAAACUCGGUCAUUUAGAGGAAGUAAAAGUCGUAACAAGGUCUCCGUUGGUGAACCAGCGGAGGGAUCAUUACCAGAGUGCCUUUUGGCUCUCCAACCCACUGUGAACAUACCUACGUUUCCCUCGGCGGGCUCAGCGCGCGGCGGUACUCCCGCCACGCGUCCGCCGAGGGCACCCAAACUCGAAUUUACUACGUGUAUCUCUGAGGGGCGAAAGCCCGUAAAACAAAAUGAAUCAAAACUUUCAACAACGGAUCUCUUGGCUCUGGCAUCGAUGAAGAACGCAGCGAAAUGCGAUAAGUAAUGUGAAUUGCAGAAUUCAGUGAAUCAUCGAAUCUUUGAACGCACAUUGCGCCCGCCGGCACUCCGGCGGGCAUGCCUGUCCGAACGUCAUUUCACCCUCGGGCCCUCCCUUCCGGGGAUCGGGCCCGGCGUUGGGGAACGGAGGCCGCUUCGGCGGCACCCGCCCCCUAAAUUCAGUGGGGGUCGCGCCCAACCUCCCCUGGGUAAUAACCCACCCUCCCACCGGAAAAAGGGGGCACGG